This 328-nucleotide long non-coding RNA is filed under the name Setaria viridis. RNAcentral describes it as "long non-coding RNA (SVIR_LNC003878)". The record is from RNAcentral. Lineage: Eukaryota; Viridiplantae; Streptophyta; Magnoliopsida; Poales; Poaceae.
UUGGGACAAGAUAAAAGAAAUUUUGAUACCUUAUACCCUUGUUCAUAACUAUGUUGUCCUUGGCUUGCAUUUGGCCAAUUUUGUUAUUUAAUUUGUUCUAAACUUUUGGAAAGCUUUUUGGACUCUUACAAAAAUUAUAUUUUCUUUGCUUUGCUGCAACACCGCCGUCCAGUCAUUCGAAUUUAAAAGUCUUUAUUUUGAGGAGAAGAAACACAAUCUUCUGUGAAUACAUGAAUCUCAUAUGCCUGUAACAGUUCAUCAUGGGCGAGAAAAAAACUUGUGCAUUCCAAUUAAGACCUAGUGAAGCUCCACGCAGGCAUUCCCUUCC